AGUGGCGCACGGGUGAGUAACGCGUGGGUAACUACCCUUGAAUUGGGGAUAACUCCGCGAAAGCGGGGCUAAUACCGAAUAAUAUUCCCCAAGGCAAAGGUGCAUUUAAGGAUGGGCCCGCGUACCAUUAGCUUGUUGGUAGGGUAACGGCCUACCAAGGCAACGAUGGUUAGCUGGUCUAAGAGGAUGGUCAGCCACACUGGAACUGAGACACGGUCCAGACUCCUACGGGAGGCAGCAGUGGGGAAUCUUGCGCAAUGGGGGAAACCCUGACGCAGCAACGCCGCGUGGGUGAUGAAGGCCUUCGGGUCGUAAAGCCCUGUCAGGUGGGAAGAAUGACGGUACUACCGGAGGAAGCACCGGCUAACUCCGU
Molecule: ribosomal RNA, 373 nt
Filed under: uncultured soil bacterium
Lineage: Bacteria
Description: bacterial SSU rRNA
Rfam family: Bacterial small subunit ribosomal RNA
Source: RNAcentral